RNAcentral lists this long non-coding RNA (916 nucleotides) under Androctonus crassicauda. The record is from RNAcentral. Lineage: Eukaryota; Metazoa; Arthropoda; Arachnida; Scorpiones; Buthidae.
UUAAACUCUUUCAUUCAUUUAUACACAAAAAUAUUUUGUUAUUAUAAUUACAUUAAAAUAACUUGGUGAUUGCACUUGAGAACCAUUGCUUUAGAUGACAUAGUUAUUCAUACAGAUUUAUAAUGUCUGAUUAUAAAGAUACAUUGAAGAUUAAAGAUCAUGUGAGCACAAGUUUUUCUCAACAUGAGAGGAAUGUCAUACAAAGACAACAAGACAAGACAUCGGUGCCAAUAUCUUAUAAAGAUGAAAAUUUGAGGGUAGUUUAAAAGCUAACGAAAAAAAUAAUGCCAAAUUUGCAUGAAGAAGAUGCCAAAUGAUUUUACUACAUUAAGAAAUGACAAAGAAGACAAAAUAACAUAAAUAACAGCACUACUAAGCAGUGUUGGGAAAAUGAAAAAACUUUAAUGACUACAAAGAACAAACGUUUUCGCUGCAAUCGCCAUCUUCAGGUUAAAAGGGACUAGCAGUUUAUUUAUGGGUUUUCAUAUAAAAAAGAAGAAUAUGACAGAUUCCUGAAAACAAGUGUAUAUGUUAUCUCCUAAGACAAUGUAUGUUUAAAUAUAGAAGAAAAGUAUACUGAUAUCACAAAAUGCAACCUUGGGGAUAGAAUCUUGGAACAUAUAGAGGACAUGCAUUUAGACUAAAUAUGGCCUUGGGAAAACAUCAUUUAGAGUAUGAUUUACAGCUAUGCUGGGAGGAAGCAAAGGUAAUUAAUCUUAGUAGAACCCCAGGUGAAAACUUUUUAAAGGAAACUUUUCAGAUAUUAAAGAGAGGUCAUCAUGAGAAUGAGAUUAAUGAUAAUCAAUAUGAUAAUGUUCCUAAUUAUAGGUACCAAAGGUUCACUGCUUUAGACGGUAUUCAACUUUAUAUAAGGAAGCACUUCGGGCAAUAAGCGGGCCGGGAUUUUAGUAAGAAC